CCUACGGGGGGCAGCAGUGGGGGAUAUUGCACAAUGGGGGGAACCCUGAUGCAGCGACGCCGCGUGUGGGAAGACGGUCCUCUGGAUUGUAAACCACUGUCCCCAGGGACGAAAAUGACGGUACCUGGGGAGGAAGCUCCGCCUAACUACGUGCCAGCAGCCGCGGUAAUACGUAGGGAGCGAGCGUUGUCCGGAAUUACUGGGGGUAAAGGGAGCGUAGGCGGGGAUGCAAGUUGGGGGUCAAAACUACCGGCUAAACUGGUAGUCGCACUCGAAACUGCAGUUCUUGAGUGAAGGAGAGGCAGGCGGAAUGCCUAGUGUAGCGGUGAAAUGCGUAGAUAUGAGGAGGAACACCAGUGGCGAAGGCGGCCUGCUGGACUUUUACUGACGCUGAGGCUCGAAAGUGUGGGGAGCAAACAGGAUUAGAUACCCCAGUAGUC
RNAcentral lists this ribosomal RNA (440 nucleotides) under uncultured bacterium. RNAcentral's name for it is "partial 16S ribosomal RNA". It matches the Rfam family "Bacterial small subunit ribosomal RNA", at positions 338 to 795 of the family's 1533-position model. The record is from RNAcentral.